RNAcentral lists this ribosomal RNA (520 nucleotides) under uncultured Diversispora. Its description in RNAcentral is "SSU rRNA". It matches the Rfam family "Eukaryotic small subunit ribosomal RNA", at positions 569 to 1085 of the family's 1831-position model. The record is from RNAcentral. Lineage: Eukaryota; Fungi; Glomeromycota; Glomeromycetes; Diversisporales; Diversisporaceae.
AGCAGCCGCGGUAAUUCCAGCUCCAAUAGCGUAUAUUAAAGUUGUUGCAGUUAAAAAGCUCGUAGUUGAACUUCGGGGUUUACCCAUUGGUCAGGCUUAAUUGUCUGUACUGGUGAGAUAAAUCUCUACCUUCUGAGGAACUUUCAUGCCAUUUAUUUAGUGUGAUGGGAAAUCAGGACUGUUACUUUGAAAAAAUUAGAGUGUUUAAAGCAGGCUAACGUCUGAAUACAUUAGCAUGGAAUAAUGAAAUAGGACGGAUUGAUUCUAUUUCGUUGGUUUCUAGGGUCACCGUAAUGAUUAAUAGGGAUAGUUGGGGGCAUUAGUAUUCAAUUGUCAGAGGUGAAAUUCUUGGAUCUAUUGAAGACUAACUACUGCGAAAGCAUUUGCCAAGGAUGUUUUCAUUAAUCAAGAACGAAAGUUAGGGGAUCGAAGACGAUCAGAUACCGUCGUAGUCUUAACCAUAAACUAUGCCGACUAGGGAUCGGGACGAAGUUAAUUUUAUAAUGAACGCGUUUCGGCU